This 433-nucleotide ribosomal RNA is filed under the name uncultured bacterium. RNAcentral describes it as "partial 16S ribosomal RNA". It matches the Rfam family "Bacterial small subunit ribosomal RNA", at positions 29 to 507 of the family's 1533-position model. The record is from RNAcentral.
AACGAACGCUGGCGGCAUGCCUAACACAUGCAAGUCGAACGAGACCUUCGGGUCUAGUGGCGCACGGGUGCGUAACGCGUGGGAACCUGCCCUUAGGUUCGGAAUAACUCCCCGAAAGGGGUGCUAAUACCGGAUAAUGUCUUCGGACCAAAGAUUUAUCGCCUUUGGAUGGGCCCGCGUUGGAUUAGCUAGUUGGUAGGGUAAAAGCCUACCAAGGCGACGAUCCAUAGCUGGUCUGAGAGGAUGAUCAGCCACACUGGGACUGAGACACGGCCCAGACUCCUACGGGAGGCAGCAGUGGGGAAUAUCGGACAAUGGGCGAAAGCCUGAUCCAGCAAUGCCGCGUGAGUGAUGAAGGCCUUAGGGUUGUAAAGCUCUUUUACCCGGGAUGAUAAUGACAGUACCGGGAGAAUAAGCGCCGGCUAACUCCGUG